Molecule: ribosomal RNA, 497 nt
Filed under: uncultured bacterium
Lineage: Bacteria
Description: partial 16S ribosomal RNA
Rfam family: Bacterial small subunit ribosomal RNA
Source: RNAcentral
AUUGAACGCUGGCGGAAUGCUUUACACAUGCAAGUCGAGCGGCAGCGCGGGGCAACCUGGCGGCGAGCGGCGAACGGGUGAGUAAUACAUCGGAACGUACCCUAUUGUGGGGGAUAACGAAUCGAAAGAUUCGCUAAUACCGCAUAAGACCUGAGGGUGAAAGUGGGGGAGCGCAAGACCUCACGCGAUAGGAGCGGCCGAUGUCGGAUUAGCUAGUUGGUGAGGUAAAGGCUCACCAAGGCGACGAUCCGUAGCGGGUCUGAGAGGACGGCCCGCCACACUGGGACUGAGACACGGCCCAGACUCCUACGGGAGGCAGCAGUGGGGAAUUUUGGACAAUGGGGGCAACCCUGAUCCAGCCAUUCCGCGUGAGUGAAGAAGGCCUUCGGGUUGUAAAGCUCUUUUGUCAGGGAAGAAACAGCAGCUCUAACACAGUCUGCGAAUGACGGUACCUGAAGAAUAAGCACCGGCUAACUACGUGCCAGCAGCCGCGGUAA